GGGACCAACGAGUGGCGGACGGGUGAGUAACACGUAGGUAACCUGCCCAGAAGCGGGGGACAACAUUUGGAAACAGAUGCUAAUACCGCAUAACAACGUUGUUCGCAUGAACAACGCUUAAAAGAUGGCUUCUCGCUAUCACUUCUGGAUGGACCUGCGGUGCAUUAGCUUGUUGGUGGGGUAAUGGCCUACCAAGGCGAUGAUGCAUAGCCGAGUUGAGAGACUGAUCGGCCACAAUGGGACUGAGACACGGCCCAUACUCCUACGGGAGGCAGCAGUAGGGAAUCUUCCACAAUGGGCGCAAGCCUGAUGGAGCAACACCGCGUGAGUGAAGAAGGGUUUCGGCUCGUAAAGCUCUGUUGUUAAAGAAGAACACGUAUGAGAGUAACUGUUCAUACGUUGACGGUAUUUAACCAGAAAGUCACGGCUAACUACGUGCCAGCAGCCGCGGUAAUACGUAGGUGGCAAGCGUUAUCCGGAUUUAUUGGGCGUAAAGAGAGUGCAGGCGGUUUUCUAAGUCUGAUGUGAAAGCCUUCGGCUUAACCGGAGAAGUGCAUCGGAAACUGGAUAACUUGAGUGCAGAAGAGGGUAGUGGAACUCCAUGUGUAGCGGUGGAAUGCGUAGAUAUAUGGAAGAACACCAGUGGCGAAGGCGGCUACCUGGUCUGCAACUGACGCUGAGACUCGAAAGCAUGGGUAGCGAACAGGAUUAGAUACCCUGGUAGUCCAUGCCGUAAACGAUGAGUGCUAGGUGUUGGAGGGUUUCCGCCCUUCAGUGCCGGAGCUAACGCAUUAAGCACUCCGCCUGGGGAGUACGACCGCAAGGUUGAAACUCAAAGGAAUUGACGGGGGCCCGCACAAGCGGUGGAGCAUGUGGUUUAAUUCGAAGCUACGCGAAGAACCUUACCAGGU
Molecule: ribosomal RNA, 911 nt
Filed under: Limosilactobacillus fermentum
Lineage: Bacteria; Bacillati; Bacillota; Bacilli; Lactobacillales; Lactobacillaceae
Description: bacterial SSU rRNA
Rfam family: Bacterial small subunit ribosomal RNA
Source: RNAcentral